This 369-nucleotide transfer-messenger RNA is filed under the name Balneolaceae bacterium. It matches the Rfam family "transfer-messenger RNA". Rfam says of the family: Bacterial tmRNA, also known as 10Sa RNA or SsrA, is named for its dual tRNA and mRNA-like properties. RNAcentral also lists the same sequence under 1 other name. The record is from RNAcentral. Lineage: Bacteria; Pseudomonadati; Balneolota; Balneolia; Balneolales; Balneolaceae.
GGGGAUGUACUUGGUUUCGACGGGCUGAGUACUAUCACAGGUUGCAUGCCGAGUUUACCCCUUAUGUACUCGUAAAAAAACCUUUGGGAUACUUAAUUGUAAAAGGCAACUCUUACGAUUACCGAAUGGCUGCCUAACAGCCGUUCCGUUCUGUCUGCUGCCCGCCCGGCGGCGGUUUGCAGAGCGACGCUAAUGCCGGGCUGGCAACAACUAUCGGCUGUGUAGUUGGUGCGAGAAAUUAGCAGCCUGGCUUCAGGGCGCUGUGCUGUCCGGCUACCCCUGAAGUAAGAUUCAACCCGACAGAUAAGCAUGUAGACGCUUGCUGGUUUGCCUUCCCGGACCCGGGUUCGACUCCCGGCAUCUCCACCA